RNAcentral lists this unclassified non-coding RNA (937 nucleotides) under Hevea brasiliensis (rubber tree). Lineage: Eukaryota; Viridiplantae; Streptophyta; Magnoliopsida; Malpighiales; Euphorbiaceae. The record is from RNAcentral.
AAGGUUAUAUCAACAGGAACAACUGGUUUCCCUUCAAAGUGACCAACCAAUACAAAUUUUCAAAUUAAGAGCUUCCAUACAAGAAAAUUAAUGAAACAAACACUUUAUAUACAUUUCUCCUAGGCAAUACAGAACCGCGUGUAUCUUCCAGUAAUAAGACUUCAGUAUUGCCUGUGUACAUCAAAUCCAAUACAAUUCACAUCAAGCUUCACGAUGAAAUUCCAAGCCUUAGCCAAACUAGUGUAGAUUCCCACAAUUAAACAAGUUGAUCUAACAUUACCACCAACGACUAGAAAGAAAAAAUUAAAAAGAAACAAUAAAUGCAGACCUCAAGUCCUUUUUCAUCUAUCUGCUCUAAAACCAAACCUAUCGACAGUCUAAAUAGCCUUUCAACAGCUAGCUUCUGCCAAAAUCAUACAGUGAAACAGAAGCGUUGAAGAAGAAUAAGGACCAUAUUCAGCAAGACAUCGUAGAAUCAAACUCUUGUUGAAAAUAUUUACCAAGUCAACAAUUAAAUACUUCCCUUGCAUCUUGAUUUUCCAUUUACUCUCACGCGAAGGAAUACACACAUCUACCAAGAUAUGAGCCACACUCCUUCGCAUCCCAAAACUGUUUCCUUCUCGGUGAAGCUCAUGCAGAAAUUUACUGCUUCUGCUUUCUGAAGAAAAAUAAUGAGGGAAACAUCAGUACUCAAAUAGCUAACCUGUUCCUGCCUUUGGAAAAUGAGCAUUUGAAUUAGCUUCACUGAACCAAACUCACUGGUGGCACAGACCAAUCUCAGAGAUGUGCAUUGAAGAUGAUUAAUAGAGCCUGAUUCUAGUCUGUAUUGAGCUUCUACAAAUGGGGCAUGAUUCUAAGUCUUCUCCACAGUCACAACAAGUCUGAUGCCCACAACCGAAGGCCAUGUCCUUUUUAUUAGUAAGACAAAUGGGACAAA